GACUCGGUGGUGUAGUGGUAGUAGCACAAAUCCCCGGUGUGGAUGAAACGCGGGUUUGAUUCCCUCCUGAGGCC
This is a non-coding RNA of Parelaphostrongylus tenuis, 74 nucleotides long. The record is from the annotation of a GenBank genome assembly. NCBI's taxonomy places the organism in Eukaryota, Metazoa, Nematoda, Chromadorea, Rhabditida, Metastrongylidae.